UACCUGCAGCUCUAGUGGUGUCCGCUAUUAUUGGGCCUAAAACGUCCGUAGCCGGCUUAUUAAAUGCCUGGGUUAAUCGUACGGCUUAACCGUACGAAUUCCGGGUAGACUGAUAAGCUUGGGACCGGGAGAAGCUAGAGGUACUCCUGGGGUAGAGGUGAAAUUUUGUAAUCCUAGGGGGACCACCAGUGGCGAAGGCGUCUAGCUAGAACGGGUUUGACGGUGAGGGACGAAGCCCUGGGGAGCAAACGGGAUUAGAUACCCCGGUAGUCCAGGGUGUAAACGCUGCUUGCUUGAUGUUAGUCGGGCUCCGAGCCCGAUUAGUGUCGGAGAGAAGUUGUUAAGCAAGCUGCCUGGGAAGUACGGCCGCAAGACUGAAACUUAAAGGAAUUGGCGGGGGAGCACAGCAACGGGAGGAGCGUGCGGUUU
RNAcentral lists this ribosomal RNA (429 nucleotides) under uncultured archaeon. RNAcentral's name for it is "bacterial SSU rRNA". It matches the Rfam family "Archaeal small subunit ribosomal RNA", at positions 474 to 903 of the family's 1478-position model. The record is from RNAcentral.